Molecule: long non-coding RNA, 1056 nt
Filed under: Capra hircus (goat)
Lineage: Eukaryota; Metazoa; Chordata; Mammalia; Artiodactyla; Bovidae
Description: lncRNA (ENSCHIG00000006875.1)
Source: RNAcentral
GGACGCGUGACAGUGAACACGCGCAGCCGUGAAGACGUUCUCGUUAGCUCGUUGGGCCCGCGCUUGUCUUCCCCCUGAGCCCCUCUGACCUGGCCGGUCCCUCCCUCUGCCUGGGCUGAGACAGAGCUCCCGGCGCUUCCAUGAGGACACUGGAGGAAGCACGGAGCCCCCUCUGCCUGGACGUCCAGGCAGCCCUGGGUUCAGAUUUCAGAAGAGUGGAUGUGCCUUCUGUAUCGUUUCAAGUUUUGGAGAAACUUCACCUUCAGUGUCUUUGGUGGUCUCCUGCCUCCCUCUGAAACUCAAGUUCAUACCUGGCUUGCCUGCCAACCUCAAGCAAGGACGAGUCACUCGUGGAACAGAGCCGUCCAGCCAAGCUGCUCCAACCCACCAGCCUGGAUCAACUAGCCCCCAGGCAACCCACGGACACGUCCAGGAGAUUGGCAGGUCACCCGAGGGGGUAAUCUCCUGUUACUGAUGGAGACGCAAAAUGCUGGUGCUGCAGAGGCAAGACGCAGCUUGGCACUGUUCUGCUUUUGGCUCCGAAACCGUAAGCUUGUUCCUUGCUAAGCUGUUUAUCUCUCCUCACCCCAUUCUCUCACAUGGUGUGAUCAGCGCUUUCGUGUAAAAUCUUUCUUUUCACUAUGCAGCACUAUUUAAAUAUCAGAGUAUAUGUGAUAUUUGGGAUUUAGCUAAACAACCAGGUUUUCUAUAUCAAUUUUAUUUGCUUGUCUCUGUAACCUCCCCUGCUAGGUGCCAGCACUGAAGAGACCUAUUCCGCUGCCUAGUCCCCAGGUGUCUCCUGAUUUGCUCAAGCCUAAACAAUAGGGAGGAAGGAUCCAUCAUUUUGUGCCUUUGUUUUUAUUGGAAUGAGGGCUUCCCUGGUGGCUCAGAUCAUAAAGAAUGCGCCUGCAGUGGGGGAGACCUGGAUUUGAUCCCUAGGUGGGGAAGAUCUCCUGGAGAAAAGCAUGGCAACCCACUCCAGUACUCUUGCCUGGAGAAUCCCAUGGACAGAGGAGCCUGGUGGGCUACAGUCCACGGGGUCGCUAAGCGCCGGUC